Molecule: unclassified non-coding RNA, 146 nt
Filed under: soil metagenome
Description: partial internal transcribed spacer 1
Source: RNAcentral
CAGAGUUAUACAAACUCCUCAACCCUUGUGAACAUACUGAAAAGUUGCUUCGGCGGGAAGACGGCCCUAACAAGGGAGCGACCCGCCAGAGGAAUCCCUAACUCCUGUUUUUAUAUGUCUCUCUGAGUAAAGCUAUAAAUAAGUUA